GACGAACCGUGCGAACGUUAUUCGGAAUCACUGGCUUAAAGCGCGUGUAGGCGGGACGGCACGUCGGCCGCUGAAAUCCCCCGGCUCAACCGGGGAAGGGGCGCCGAUACGACCGCCCUGGAGGGACGUAGGGGGGGCUGGAACUUCCGGUGGAGCGGUGAAAUGCGUUGAGAUCGGAAGGAACGCCCGUGGCGAAAGCGAGCCCCUGGACGUCUACUGACGCUGAGACGCGAAAGCCAGGGGAGCGAACGGG
This 253-nucleotide ribosomal RNA is filed under the name uncultured bacterium. Its description in RNAcentral is "partial 16S ribosomal RNA". It matches the Rfam family "Bacterial small subunit ribosomal RNA", at positions 524 to 776 of the family's 1533-position model. The record is from RNAcentral.